RNAcentral lists this ribosomal RNA (253 nucleotides) under uncultured prokaryote. RNAcentral describes it as "partial 16S ribosomal RNA". It matches the Rfam family "Bacterial small subunit ribosomal RNA", at positions 524 to 776 of the family's 1533-position model. The record is from RNAcentral.
UACGGGGGGUGCGAGCGUUGUCCGGAAUCACUGGGCGUAAAGGGCGCGUAGGCGGAUCGACCAGUCUGUGGUGAAAUCCUUCAGCUUAACUGGAGAAGUGCCGUGGAUACUGUCGGUCUCGAGGAGGAUAGGGGCAUCUGGAACUGCCGGUGGAGCGGUGAAAUGCGUUGAUAUCGGCAGGAACUCCGGUGGCGAAGGCGAGAUGCUGGAUCCUUUCUGACGCUGAUGCGCGAAAGCCAGGGGAGCAAACGGG